This 468-nucleotide ribosomal RNA is filed under the name uncultured bacterium. RNAcentral describes it as "partial 16S ribosomal RNA". It matches the Rfam family "Bacterial small subunit ribosomal RNA", at positions 28 to 507 of the family's 1533-position model. The record is from RNAcentral.
GACGAACGCUGGCGGCGUGCUUAACACAUGCAAGUCGAACGGAAAGGCCCUGCUUUUGUGGGGUGCUCGAGUGGCGAACGGGUGAGUAACACGUGAGUAACCUGCCCUUGACUUGGGGAUAACUUCAGGAAACUGGGGCUAAUACCGGAUAGGAGCUCCUGCUGCAUGGUGGGGGUUGGAAAGUUUCGGCGGUUGGGGAUGGACUCGCGGCUUAUCAGCUUGUUGGUGGGGUAGUUGCUUACCAAGGCUUUGACGGGUAGCCGGCCUGAGAGGGUGACCGGCCACAUUGGGACUGAGAUACGGCCCAGACUCCUACGGGAGGCAGCAGUGGGGAAUAUUGCACAAUGGGCGGAAGCCUGAUGCAGCAACGCCGCGUGCGGGAUGACGGCCUUCGGGUUGUAAACCGCUUUCGCCUGUGACGAAGCGUGAGUGACGGUAAUGGGUAAAGAAGCACCGGCUAACUACGUG